This 139-nucleotide small nucleolar RNA is filed under the name Vicugna pacos (alpaca). Lineage: Eukaryota; Metazoa; Chordata; Mammalia; Artiodactyla; Camelidae. The record is from RNAcentral.
AAUCACAUAUUGACUUUACAGGUGAUAUAGUUAAGAUCCUCAAAGAGUUAAUGCAUUUCUGAUGUGCUAAAUAAAUCUUCGGAGGUAAAUUAGCAGCAUGACUAAUUUAGCCAUUGCUGUCAUUCACCUUCAGACAAGA